UACGUAGGGAGCAAGCGUUGUCCGGAAUCAUUGGGCGUAAAGCGCGCGUAGGUGGCCCCGUAAGUCCGUUGUGAAAGUCAAAGGCUCAACCUUUGAAAGCCGAUGGAUACUGCAGGGCUAGAGUACGGAAGAGGCGAGUGGAAUUCCUGGUGUAGCGGUGGAAUGCGCAGAUAUCAGGAGGAACACCAAUAGCGAAGGCAGCUCGCUGGGACGUUACUGACACUGAGGCGCGAAAGCGUGGGGAGCGAACAGG
Molecule: ribosomal RNA, 253 nt
Filed under: uncultured bacterium
Lineage: Bacteria
Description: partial 16S ribosomal RNA
Rfam family: Bacterial small subunit ribosomal RNA
Source: RNAcentral